This 481-nucleotide ribosomal RNA is filed under the name uncultured bacterium. Its description in RNAcentral is "partial 16S ribosomal RNA". It matches the Rfam family "Bacterial small subunit ribosomal RNA", at positions 28 to 523 of the family's 1533-position model. The record is from RNAcentral.
GACGAACGCUGGCGGCGUGCUUAACACAUGCAAGUCGAACGCUGAAGCCCUUUCGGGGGUGGAUGAGUGGCGAACGGGUGAGUAACACGUGGGUAAUCUGCCCUGCACUCUGGGAUAAGCCUUGGAAACGGGGUCUAAUACCGGAUAGGACACAUCGCCGCAUGGUGUGUGUGUGGAAAGUUCCGGCGGUGCAGGUUGAGCCCGCGGCCUAUCAGCUUGUUGGUGGGGUGAUGGCCUACCAAGGCGACGACGGGUAGGCGGCCUGAGAGGGUGACCGGCCACACUGGGACUGAGACACGGCCCAGACUCCUACGGGAGGCAGCAGUGGGGAAUCUUGCGCAAUGGGCGAAAGCCUGACGCAGCAACGCCGCGUGGGGGAUGACGGCCUUCGGGUUGUAAACCUCUUUCGACCGGGACGAAGGGUGACUGACGGUACCGGUAGAAGAAGCACCGGCUAACUACGUGCCAGCCGCCGCGGUAA